Molecule: long non-coding RNA, 1957 nt
Organism: Mauremys mutica (yellowpond turtle)
Lineage: Eukaryota; Metazoa; Chordata; Testudines; Geoemydidae
Exons: 2
Source: RefSeq, a predicted model, not a curated record
AAGCGGUAGUAUAUGCAAGUGCCUGGGGAAAUGAAACAGGGUACUAUGAAAUAGUGCCAGAAGGGAAUGGACUAUGGUGAAUACCUGGAGAGGGAUGGAAACAAAUAAUAGGAGCCCAAUGAAAAUUGGGCACCUUAAUUAAGAAAACUUGGGUAAUGUAACAAUAGAACAAUCAACCAGAUGUGUAAUAAUUAUAAAAAAAAUGCACUUGCUCGAAAAUAUAAAAUUAUUGAAAAAGCUGUAGAGAAUAUAAGAUCUAAAAUGUGUUCCUAGUAUGAUGUUAUAUGUCAAAUAACAGAAUGGAAUGGAAUUAAAUGGGCAAUGGACACAGCAAAGAACACCAUGUGACUAAAAUAGUGGGAGUCACUUUCCUGAAUGGGUGUUAAGAGAGACAAUUAUUAAGAUUGGGCCCCUAAUGAAGAGGAACUCCGUUAGUCUGGAGUUCCUUGUGAAAGUGCUGAAGAGGAUUGGUCACAGCCCUUGAAAGGAACCCUGUGCCAAAGCAUAUUAUGUAAUGUCAAAAAUGCUUCUCUGGAUCUCAGGCUCCAUUUAAUAAAACAAAAGAUUUAAUUCAAAAUGUAUUGGACACCGCAGAGAUUGCCCAAGAUAAAGGCCUUACCCUCUGAUGUUAGUUGGCCCUAUAACAAAGAAAAAGGAACCCAGGUGCAGGUGCUGUGGGACUGUCCAGUAUCCGGUAGCUGUGGAUAGAAAAUAAUGCUUGGCUUUAUCAGUCAAACCUCAGCUGAAAAUUGCAUCCAAAGAUAUUUACCUGCCAAGCUGGUUUAACUGCGUCACAAAAGCUUUGGUUCUUAAAGGCUCCAAUGAUUAUCAAGUGCAUACGUUUUACAAAAAUGGUUGGUCAGGCUUAUGCCCAUAACAGAGCAGUGGCAUGAGGACAUGGCUGAGUAAGAGCCAAAGAAAGAAUAGGAUAUUGCUACUGUUAGUAUAUAGGCUUGUUUGUCAGCCUAAGAUAGAAUUUUGGGUUUGACUUUUUGAUACUCUUGUAUCUUAUCCUAGCGUUAAUUGAAAUUAACCCGAAUAAGUAUAGCAUUGCCUGCACUUCAGACUUCUGGUCUUCUGUUUUUUGUCUGAAUGACAAGAACCAGGGAAUGCGGGGGGAAGGGAAAGUCCUCCAACAGCCACAGAGAUCAAUUAUAUGAAGUCGAAGAAAUUUGGACCCUGUUUCUAGAUACAUGUGGAUUAAAAAUGUUCAGAUAAUUCAAAUAAUGCCAUGCUUCCAUUCAACCUUACCCCUCUGCUUUUUUACUCACCCCCAAUGCCGUUCCUCUCUCUAUUCAUGUAUACCUUCUCUUAUUGUAUUACUGUUACUCACACCCUAACAUGUUAUGUCUAUGUAGCAUUGCCUGGAUUUGUUGUGUUUGGUGUUGCAACUUUAACAAGUUGUAAAAUUGUGUAAUUGCAUAAUUUUAUUGGCGAUCCUGUGAAGCAUGCCAUAUUUGGAAACACACACAGCUGUAAAUCAUUUACCUUUUUGAAUCUUUCAUUGUCUACUUCUUUACAAAAAUCAGUCUCACACACACAAGAUUUGACCCCAGUCGUUUCUUGGUUCUCUGAACAACAAAUUUUAACAAUUUUUAAAAUAAAAUUACUUGGUUCCCAACAUCUUAAAAAACCCCUUUCUACCCACUAUGGCCUUGCCUCCCUUCUCCGUCCUUAUCUGAGACAUUAUCUCUCCCCUUCCAUGCUCCUCCCUGUCUCCUCUCCUCCUGGCUCUCCUUACAAUCCAGCAUUCCGUUGUAGAUGUGGAGAUGGCACAUGAUCACAUGUCUAAUUUGGAUCAAUAAGACAGACACCUUCCUGUUCAAAAGCAGAGCUAAAUUUUAAUGAUGUUUAAUGGGCAGGUGCUGGAGUUGGGGGUUGGGCAGGGACGGGUGCUUGUUUAGUCGCAGCAGAAGAACUUCACAUCAUUGAGUGUUGUAUCAUCGUCCAGGCCCUG